RNAcentral lists this ribosomal RNA (789 nucleotides) under uncultured bacterium. Its description in RNAcentral is "bacterial SSU rRNA". It matches the Rfam family "Bacterial small subunit ribosomal RNA", at positions 8 to 798 of the family's 1533-position model. The record is from RNAcentral.
AGAGUUUGAUCCUGGCUCAGGAUGAACGCUAGCGGCAGGCUUAACACAUGCAAGUCGAGGGGUAGAGGUUGCUUGCAACCUUGAGACCGGCGCACGGGUGCGUAACGCGUAUGCAACCUACCUUUUACAGAGGGAUAGCCCAGAGAAAUUUGGAUUAAUACCUCAUAGUAUAUCUUUCGCAUGUUAGGUAUAUUAAAGUUCCAACGGUAAAAGAUGGGCAUGCGUCCUAUUAGCUAGAUGGUAAGGUAACGGCUUACCAUGGCUACGAUAGGUAGGGGUCCUGAGAGGGAGAUCCCCCACACUGGUACUGAGACACGGACCAGACUCCUACGGGAGGCAGCAGUGAGGAAUAUUGGACAAUGGGCGCAAGCCUGAUCCAGCCAUGCCGCGUGCAGGAAGAAGCAUCUAUGGUGUGUAAACUGCUUUUGUACAGGAAGAAACAUCCCGACGUGUCGGGACUUGACGGUACUGUAAGAAUAAGGAUCGGCUAACUCCGUGCCAGCAGCCGCGGUAAUACGGAGGAUCCAAGCGUUAUCCGGAAUCAUUGGGUUUAAAGGGUCCGUAGGCGGUUUGGUAAGUCAGUGGUGAAAGCCCGCAGCUCAACUGUGGAACGGCCAUUGAUACUGCCAGACUUGAAUUACAAGGAAGUAACUAGAAUAUGUAGUGUAGCGGUGAAAUGCUUAGAUAUUACAUGGAAUACCAAUUGCGAAGGCAGGUUACUACUUGUGGAUUGACGCUGAUGGACGAAAGCGUGGGGAGCGAACAGGAUUAGAUACCCUGGUAGUCCAA